CUCAAAUAUCUGUCAUGGAUAAAUAAAGUUAUUUAAAUCAAUUUGACAUCAACAUUAUUUCGAUACCUGUAAAAUAUCGGCGUUCGUGUUCAUUUGAAAAUCGCUCGUGAAAGAAUCGAAUUUGCCUAAUAGUUGUCAAGACAAGAUAAUGUACAGCUCGCUUUACAAGUUUAGAGGCAGUUAUGAUCUAGAAUAUAUUUCAAUGCGUAAAAAUUGUGAUAAUAUUAUCACUACACCUUGCUACAGCAUUUGGAUAUGGUAUUCAUCAGUACGUAUGGUUGUUAUUGUCAUAACAUGCAGGGACGGAUCUAG
Xenia sp. Carnegie-2017 is the source of this 312-nucleotide long non-coding RNA. RefSeq lists it as uncharacterized. The record is from RefSeq and is a predicted model, not a curated record. The transcript is spliced from 2 exons. NCBI's taxonomy places the organism in Eukaryota, Metazoa, Cnidaria, Anthozoa, Malacalcyonacea, Xeniidae.